Triticum aestivum (bread wheat) is the source of this 1722-nucleotide long non-coding RNA. RefSeq lists it as uncharacterized. Lineage: Eukaryota; Viridiplantae; Streptophyta; Magnoliopsida; Poales; Poaceae. The record is from RefSeq and is a predicted model, not a curated record. The transcript has 6 exons.
UUGGCUUUCACAAAUAAUCUAGGUCGUUCUCUCCCCACCCUCCCCUAUUCCUUAGGAUCCACGCCGGCCGCCGCCCCUCGCAGUUGCGACCAACCCGCAUCAUGGCGCGCCGCCGCUCUUCACUCAACCGCGCUCCUCCAUCCUGGCGGCCGCCAGUACCACUCCCGUGUGACCCUGCAGCCCGGUGCGCCGCCUCUCGUCACCACUCCCCUGCAUGUGGUCCUCUCCUCCAUCUCGACGCGCCGCCAACAUCUCUCCCCUGUGACUCUGCAUCCCGGUACGCCGCCCCUCGUCACCCCUUCCCUGUGACCAUUGGCGAAUCCAAGGUACGCAGUGAAGGUGCCGGCCAAAGAUUUUGAUUUGUGUAUCCGGUGUUCCUACAUGAUGGUCUUGACUCUUGAGAGCUGAGAAGAUCUGUUUGGCUUAAGAAAAUUCUGUAGUUGUUUCUGCACCUAAGUUCAUGGUCAAGGUCUCAUGGAGUCCAAUGGAAUAAUGUUGGAAGCCCAUGGUGUCCAUUGAAUUUUGUUCACCUGCUACUAGCUGGAUUCCAAGCAUUGUAGGUACUCCGGUGAGAAGUUCAUCAUACAUUGGUUUUCACCCUCGUAAAGCUGAUGAAUGUGAAUGAAGAUUAUGGAGAACUUUCUUCAGUAGCAAGGCCGACAAAUUUCAUAAUGUAGGCAGGGGUUUGGAAGUGCAUGCCGCAGUAUAUAUGGUGGAUUUGUGAAACUAUGUAUGGGAAAAGUAAGUUUCCAUAUGCUGCCGAGGAAUAAAUCAUACAUAACUUAUUGAUUUACACGUAAUAGGAAGUUGGUCUAACUCUCCUCUCACUUGAUUAUAUACUAUUAGAAAGUUUGCUUAUAGCUGCAAAACACAGUUGACUGAAGGGCUGCAUGCCUCCACUAUCAUUCCGUGGUACCAUAAAUUUUCAGGUAUAUUGAUGCUGACAUGUGAUUGAGCAAUGGCCCAUAUUACAAAUCUGCAACUUCAGACCACAACUUUUGCUUCUCUAACAUGUGUUUGUUGAUUGCGUUUUCUUGAAUUAAAAUUAUGCAUUCAACACCAUUGUCCACUAUAUAUAUUAUGUGGCACAAAAAUAUGUAAGUAUCCUUCUGUUUAAAUGUAGUUUGAUAAGUUUAUAUAGCUAUAAUUGACUAAAUUGUGUGAAGGCAGUGGCCAACUUCCAGACUUGUAUUUAUGGUCAUGGCCUAUUCAACACUACAGUGCUACAGUAAAUGGAGCUUUGGUUGUAUUUACAUCAUAUUGAAUCUCUUUCACCAGAUCCCAUGACUUUGAAAUCUUCCUUACCACCUCUCACUAAUCAUUUUUUAAGUGCUGCACAGUCUGAUCAACAAAAGGGAAGUUCGACAAUGAAGAAAUAAGCUACAUGCAUGCUAGAUGAGUUUGAACCUUGGUGGUUCUUCUAAAGAUUCAAAAGAAAACCUGAUUAUAAGGGUGCACGGAAAGUCUAGUGCAAUGAUGAUGAUGAUGAUGAUGUUACUAUUCAUGAUGAAGAUGAUGAUGGAUGCUUUCAAUAUUAGUUAAGCUAUUGGAUGAUGUUAAGUUUUAGUUAAGUUAUAGGGAUGUUGAUGGAUGCUUUCAGUUUAAGUUUCAUUGUCAAGAGAAUAUUUAGAUUAUGCAUCACAUUUGGGUGAUGUUCCUCCUGUAAUAUCCAGUAUUCUAAUCCAACAAUUUUAUUUGAUAUACAAUUUCUUCCUCCUGUGA